RNAcentral lists this ribosomal RNA (767 nucleotides) under uncultured bacterium. RNAcentral describes it as "bacterial SSU rRNA". It matches the Rfam family "Bacterial small subunit ribosomal RNA", at positions 51 to 829 of the family's 1533-position model. The record is from RNAcentral.
ACACAUGCAAGUCGAACGGAAUUUACAUGAAGCCUAGCGAUUGUAAAUUUAGUGGCGGACGGGUGAGUAACGCGUGGGUAACCUGCCUUGUACUGGGGGACAACAGUUGGAAACGACUGCUAAUACCGCAUAAGCGCACAGCUUCGCAUGAAGCAGUGUGAAAAACUCCGGUGGUACAAGAUGGACCCGCGUCUGAUUAGCUGGUUGGUGAGGUAACGGCCCACCAAGGCGACGAUCAGUAGCCGGCCUGAGAGGGUGAACGGCCACAUUGGGACUGAGACACGGCCCAAACUCCUACGGGAGGCAGCAGUGGGGAAUAUUGCACAAUGGGGGAAACCCUGAUGCAGCAACGCCGCGUGAGUGAAGAAGUAUUUCGGUAUGUAAAGCUCUAUCAGCAGGAAAGAAAAUGACGGUACCUGACUAAGAAGCCCCGGCUAACUACGUGCCAGCAGCCGCGGUAAUACGUAGGGGGCAAGCGUUAUCCGGAUUUACUGGGUGUAAAGGGAGCGUAGACGGUUUUGCAAGUCUGAAGUGAAAGCCCGGGGCUUAACCCCGGGACUGCUUUGGAAACUGUAGGACUAGAGUGCAGGAGAGGUAAGUGGAAUUCCUAGUGUAGCGGUGAAAUGCGUAGAUAUUAGGAGGAACACCAGUGGCGAAGGCGGCUUACUGGACUGUAACUGACGUUGAGGCUCGAAAGCGUGGGGAGCAAACAGGAUUAGAUACCCUGGUAGUCCACGCCGUAAACGAUGAUUACUAGGUGUUGGUGG